Molecule: ribosomal RNA, 400 nt
Filed under: uncultured bacterium
Lineage: Bacteria
Description: bacterial SSU rRNA
Rfam family: Bacterial small subunit ribosomal RNA
Source: RNAcentral
UGGGGAAUCUUGGACAAUGGGCGCAAGCCUGAUCCAGCAAUGCCGCGUGGGUGAAGAAGGCCUUCGGGUUGUAAAGCCCUUUCGGCGGGGAAGAAAUCGGUCAGGCGAAUAGUCUGGCCGGAUGACGGUACCCGCAGAAGAAGCACCGGCUAACUACGUGCCAGCAGCCGCGGUAAUACGUAGGGUGCGAGCGUUAAUCGGAAUUACUGGGCGUAAAGGGUGCGCAGGCGGCCCUGUAAGACCGGUGUGAAAUCCCCGGGCUCAACCUGGGAAUUGCGCUGGUGACUGCAGGGCUAGAGUACGGUAGAGGGGGGUGGAAUUCCUGGUGUAGCAGUGAAAUGCGUAGAGAUCAGGAGGAACACCGAUGGCGAAGGCAGCCCCCUGGGCCUGUACUGACGCU